CGUAUGAAUACAGGCACAGAUAUACAUUGAGUAGACUAUGUUAAUACACUGUCUUGUAUUUUUCUAGGAAAUGUAUUGGCACGUUAUACUUCUAUGCAAACACUAUCACUCAAGCUUUUCAUGAGUUGUUAUAUUGUACUUCUGACUGAAUGUCUGAUGUGGUUUUAAAGCAGUUACUUUGAGCAUAAUUAUUCUAAUUCCUAAUUAUUUCAGAUUCAGGUCUCCUUGCACAAUGAAGACGUCACAGCGGCAGUUGGGCAGGCUGUAUGGGAUGGCAAUCUCAGCUGGGGAAUGCAUAUUUUAAUAACAGGUUUACCGUGUACGGCCUGAGAACAAUCUCUGGACUCUAUUAUCCUCCUAAUAGGCUAUCCUGUGAGGAGUUGAGAGAGAGUACCUGACUGGAGCUGAGACUCGUGCCUGAUCAGUACAGGUUUCCUGCGGAAAUUGAAUUUGGAGGUAAUGGUCCAGGAACGUGUAAAUGAGGAGUUAGACAUUUCGGAGGUGUUUCCGUUCCCAAACUACUGGGAUGAUGAUAUCAUAAAAAAUCAUGUUGUGUAAGAUUGUGUUUGAAGAUUAAUGAGUUGAUGAUUUAUGUCUUAGGAAUAAAAUUGGUUAAAAGUUGCAUGUGACAACUACAUGAUCUUUCAUGAUAUAGGGCGGAUUGUUGUGGAAAUUUCUUAAUACAAUGUAUUUUUACUGAUUAAAGGACUAAGUCCCACUGUUUAGAUAGAUAGAUGAAUGUGGGGGAUCUGGCAUUUGCUUAGGGGGCAUCAUUGACUGGUGUCAGCUGAUGAAAGGGUUACUCUUUAUCUCCUUAUCUGUUUGAACUCACCAAGGCAUCUAUUGUCUGUCCAGAUACUGUAAGAACUCUUAAAGUUGAAGAAGGUAUUUAUGGCGGGAAGGAGAGCUGUCCUUGGUGUGAACCUUUGGGUAAACACUACAGUAAACAUUAUGGCAGGAAGGAUAAGGUGGGGGAAGAUAGCAUUUGACUUGUGUGAUAGAACAAAGGGAAUGUGUCCUGAUUGAUCUGGAAUGUCCAGGAUUUGUCACACCCCUCUCCUGUCUUUAAAUACUGUCGAUUGCCUUUUUUUAUUUAGAGACUAUCCACUGUUACUUUGUAACCUGUAUACUUUCUCCUUGCAAGCAAGAUUAAAACCGUU
Long non-coding RNA from Esox lucius (northern pike), 1160 nucleotides. The record is from Ensembl. NCBI's taxonomy places the organism in Eukaryota, Metazoa, Chordata, Actinopteri, Esociformes, Esocidae.